Molecule: ribosomal RNA, 451 nt
Filed under: uncultured bacterium
Lineage: Bacteria
Description: partial 16S ribosomal RNA
Rfam family: Bacterial small subunit ribosomal RNA
Source: RNAcentral
AGCGAACGCUGGCGGCAGGCUUAACACAUGCAAGUCGAGCGGGCGUAGCAAUACGUCAGCGGCAGACGGGUGAGUAACGCGUGGGAACGUACCUUUUGGUUCGGAACAACACAGGGAAACUUGUGCUAAUACCGGAUAAGCCCUUACGGGGAAAGAUUUAUCGCCGAAAGAUCGGCCCGCGUCUGAUUAGCUAGUUGGUAGGGUAAUGGCCUACCAAGGCGACGAUCAGUAGCUGGUCUGAGAGGAUGAUCAGCCACAUUGGGACUGAGACACGGCCCAAACUCCUACGGGAGGCAGCAGUGGGGAAGAUUGGACAAUGGGGGCAACCCUGUUCCAGCCAUGCCGCGUGAGUGAUGAAGGCCCUAGGGUUGUAAAGCUCUAUUGUGCGGGAAGAUAAUGACGGUACCGCAAGAAUAAGCCCCGGCUAACCUCGUGCCAGCCGCCGCCGUAA